AUUUAUUUUACAUAAUAUCAAAUAAAAAAAAUUACAAAUAAGUUAUAGUGUUUGGCAUGUUACAGCUGGAUACAUAUGAAGCUCAAGUGCCUUCUUUUUCCGUGUCUUCUUUGUUGUUUUUCUAAAUGAAAUGUCAUUCUAAAAUUGUUGAGAUCCUUAUUAAGCCAACCACCGAUUUUGUUGGUUUUCCUGUCACUGUCAAACCAAAAGCAACAAGAUUAAAAAAAAUUAAGAAAAUUAAAACAGAUUUUUUUUCUUACAGAUUUCAGAAAAGAAGAAAAUAAAAACAGACUAUUGCAACAUUUGAUUAUUAACAUUACAGCUAACUUGCCAUCCCAACAUUCUAUUUUUCUUUUCUUUUUUGCUUAAUUUUAAUAAAUUCAUCUCAUGAUCACUCCUUCAAAUUUCAUCUCUACAAUUUCAAAAGAGAGACAUAAUAUAAAGUUAUAAUUUAAUGUUUUGAGAGCCUCUCCAGGAGGAGGCAUUGUUGAUUAAUAAUCUCCUGGAUCAAAAAAUUAUACAAUUCAAUUAUGUCUCAACAUUGUGGAUUAUAAGGUGUUUAAUUGUUUAAACCCUUGUUAACAUUUUAUUCCAAAGGAUUUGGUGGGAUUAAUUCAUAUUUGCCUCACCCUUGUCUUGAUUAGCUUAGGAAGAAUUUAUUUGACUUUGUAACAAUUCAUUUUACAAAGAAUUUGUAACAUUAUACAUAGAAAAAAAUGGGAGACAUUUCACCGGAGAGAAAAUCGGGUUGUGGAUUGAUGACAACGGUAUUCGGAAGACAUAGUCAACGGUCGAAAAAAGCAUCCUCUACAGGAUCUUCUCCCAUACCACGUAGUAGAAGUGCCUCUAAAGAGGUAGUUUACGUCGAUCCACCUUCACGCAACGUAGCUUCUCGUUCUGUUUCCAAUUCUUCUUGUUCAUCAAAUAAUAAUAAUAAUCCACAGAGAAGAAACUCCAACGAAACGACAAUGCCACGUGGCAUGUCAAAAAAUUCAAAUUCAUCAACUACACAGGGGUAUGUUAACCAAGGUAGGAGGGUGCCAAAAGAAGUUGUUGGAAUUUCAGGUGAGUUAGAUACCAUGAUCAAUGAUCACCAAAAAUCUAACUCCAAAGGAAGUACUUUUGUUCGCGCUUCUUCUGGCAAUGUUAUGUUAUAUGGACAUUUAGGUAAUCUUAGACAAGGAGCUAAAGAUAAUAGUUAUUCAAAUGCAAUGGAUAAUUAUAACCAAUACUUUGAAAAUGCAAAUUCAAAUGUUGGAGGAAACACAAAGAAUGUGUCGAGUAUUAAUAAAGAGACAAAUUCCUCGACGAAGUUGAAGGGAGAAAAUACGGGUGGUGGUUCACUUUGUAGGGCUAUAUCAACUAGAAUGGAUCCAGAACAGUUGAAGAUAAUGGGGAACGAGGAUUAUAAGAAUGGAAGAUUUGCGGAGGCGUUAUCUUUGUAUGAUGCAGCUAUUGCAAUUGAUCCUAAAAAGGCUGCUUAUAGAAGUAACAGAAGUGCUGCUUUAACUGCUCUUGGUAGGCUUCUUGAAGCUGUGUUUGAAUGUAGGGAAGCUAUUCAAAUUGAUCCUCAUUAUCAUCGAGCUCAUCAUCGUUUAGGAAGUUUGCAUUUUAGGUAGGUUAUGCAUAUGAAAUUAUGCAACAUUAAUUCAACAUUAAUUGCAUGUUAUCGGAUACAUAUAUCUUUUUGCUUAUGUUUAUGAGCGGAGGGAGUGACUGUCUCACUGAUAGCGUGCGUUUCUUACUUUUUAUUACAGAUUAGGAGAAACAGAUAAGGCCCUUUAUCAUUAUAAACAAGCAGGGCCAGAGGCUGAUCCUGAUGAAGUUGCUAAAGUGAAGAUUCUUCAAGCUCAUUUAAAUAAGUGCACCGAGGCUCAAAGGGUAGGAGAUUGGAACAAACUCGUGGUCGAGACCUCCAACACUAUAUCAGCUGGUGCAGAUUCUGCUCCACAGGUACUAAUCAAUUAUUAAUUGACAUAUAUAUCAUAUCAUCUCGUCGACUAUUUUAGUUUAUGGUUAUGAAUUGUGGUUGCACUCGCAACUUCAUUAUGCUACGAACCUUGAUAUUGCAGUAAAAUGUGGCUGCAAUAUAUUGUGGCCACUAACAAUUGCGGGCCACAAUUUAAAACUAUUACCCUAAUCUCUCUCUCUCUCUCUCAUACACACACACACCUAAUGUUUCUAUUACACAUACAUGUAAUGUUUUUAUUGAUUAUGUCACCGGUUUUGGUUUUUAAGAUAUUUGCAUUGCAAGCGGAAGCCCUGAUAAAACUCCGUAGGCAUCAAGAUGCGGACAACGUAAUGUCAAAAUGUCCUAAUUUUGAUGUUGACGAUUGUACCAAGUUCUUUGGACCAAUUGGGAAUGCAAAUUUGUUAGCAACACGAGCUCAAGUUGAUCUAGCUGCUGGCAGGUAAUUAAUCCUUAUUUAGUUUCUGGUCUACCAAUAAUUUCAGAAAAUAAUGUAACUUGGAGAAAUGACAAUCAUUGAACAUUGUGUUAUCAGAUUUGAUGAUGCUUUGGAGGCAGCACAUAAAGCAACUAGGCUAGACACUAACAACAAGUUAGCAAACAAGGUAUUGGGAAAGGCUCGAGCCGUGACAGGUGCAAGAUGUAGAGGAAACGAGCUUUUCAAGGCGUCGAAAUUCUCUGAGGCUUGUAAUGCAUAUGGAGAAGGGCUUCAGCAUGAUCCAUAUAACUCAGUUUUACUAUGCAACCGAGCCGCUUGUAGAUCAAAACUUGGUCAAUUGGAGAAAGCAAUUGAAGAUUGCACCGCUGCUCUUAACUUACGCCCAUCUUACACCAAAGCAAGGUUGAGAAGAGCUGAUUGUAAUGCUAAGGUGAUCCGUCGACCUUUUUUUUAUUUCUUUAUAUACUAUACUUGAUGCAAUUUAGGCGAAUAUAUUAUAUACAAGUUUCAUAACAUACGAUUAAUAUUUAACUUGUUGGGAUAUAUAUAUCUGCUAAUAAGAUUUGUGUGAUGUCGAUAUAUUGUGAAAUUGAUUAUAGUUGGAAAGAUGGGAAGCUUCAAUAGGAGACUAUGAAAUCUUGUUAAAAGAGACACCAGAAGACGAGGAAGUCAGCCGUGCAUUGUCGGAGGCUCGGGUCCAACUUAAGAAACAACGAGGCGGAUAANNNNNNNNNNNNNNNNNNNNNNNNNNUGCAAGUUUGAGUUUACCGCAUGCUUUGUUUCAUGUCGAGAAAAGAGCUUUUUUUGUGUGCAUCGGCAAUUAAAGAAUAUUACACAUCACAAGAUCAAUCCUUUGGAAAAGAAAAGUGAAAUUGCAGUGUUUAGAGCCAAAAAAUGAAAUUCACUUCAGAAUUCAAAACAUUUCAGAUAUAAACACAGCACUGUUUGUUUUGAAGCUAACGGAACUAAAAUUUAAAGUUACAAGUUAGUUAGUAAUGUAUAGUACUCUCUUUGGUUUUCUUGUUUCUUUUGUAAGAAACUACAUAACACUUUUUAUGAUGGAUUUGUAUAUUAGUCUACUAGUAUUGCCACUAAUUAAACCUUCAUAUACAUCAAAAUCAAUUAUCAAUACAGUAAAAAAAACAAAAGAUAAACAAACACAAACAAGACAACUAAGAAGGGAAAGGUUAAACAAAAGAAAGCAAGACAACGAAAAGGAGAUAGAAACGAACCUGGAUUGCCUGCGGUCACUGACUGCACGCGAUCACACAUAUAUUAAGACUGCAGUUUUCCCAAGUCACCAAAGGUCAUGAAAUCAAAUUCAUUGCUGACAAAAACUUAUUAAAC
RNAcentral lists this long non-coding RNA (3755 nucleotides) under Trifolium pratense (red clover). RNAcentral's name for it is "long non-coding RNA (TPRA_LNC010780)". Lineage: Eukaryota; Viridiplantae; Streptophyta; Magnoliopsida; Fabales; Fabaceae. The record is from RNAcentral.